AGAGUUUGAUCCUGGCUCAGAUUGAACGCUGGCGGCGUGCUUAACACAUGCAAGUCGCGCGUGAAAGGGACUUCGGCCUGAGUAAAGCGGCGCACGGGUGAGUAACGCGUGGAUGAUCUACCCAUGAGUUGGGAAUAACGGCUGGAAACGGUCGCUAAUACCGAAUACGCUCCGAUUUCAACUUCGGGGGAAAGGUGGCCUCUGCUUGCAAGCUACUGCUCAUGGAUGAGUCCGCGUCCCAUUAGCUAGUUGGUGAGGUAACGGCCCACCAAGGCGACGAUGGGUAGCCGGUCUGAGAGGAUGACCGGCCACACUGGGACUGGAACACGGCCCAGACUCCUACGGGAGGCAGC
Molecule: ribosomal RNA, 353 nt
Filed under: uncultured bacterium
Lineage: Bacteria
Description: bacterial SSU rRNA
Rfam family: Bacterial small subunit ribosomal RNA
Source: RNAcentral